UACUGUCUCACUUCCUUCCUGGGAACUCUUCAAAUGGAAUUUUAUGUCUGGUUAGGAGUAAUACAAUUUAAGAAGGAUGUGGAUAUACUGGAGAGGUUACAAUGGAAACUACUUAAAAUGAUGGGAAUUCUAGAAACCAUGGUCUGUAAAGGAAAAUGGAAAGAAAAAUGAGACUUAUUCAGCAAAAGGAGAAAUAGUGCUAGGUUAAGAAGAAGAUGAAAUGAGGCAAACCGGAGGAAAGUCAUUUUUAACUACAGCAAGGGCAGAUUAGAUUUUUUGAAAGAUCCAUUAAUUAUUUUAGUUAAGUGUUGGAAAUACUUAGGGAGGUUAAGAAAAUUUUUCUAAAUGGAAGUUUCUUAUAAACCACCCUUCCCCUCAAUACUCCUUUGCGCUUCAGUCUUCCCGACAACGAAAGUUUACUUGUCUUUAGACAUAACACAAGUAAUAGGGUCAAUGGGAAAGGACCUACCCACAUGCCCAUAAAGGAACUGUGUCUUUGACCCUGGAAUUGCUGUCAACUAUCUUUUUUGGUAAUUUGGAAACUAAAAAUAUUCUGUUCUUUCAAUAAUACUGCAGCAGAUGACCACCAGAAUCCAGCAAGGUGUGGAUGGGACAGUGGAAAAGGCGAAAGAUCUCCUCUUUAGGAGACAGGAAAUUUCCAGUCCAGGCUCUUCUACAAACUGGUGGAUUGUCCUUAUGCUAUUGCCAGUGGAAACAAGUGGCUUUUGCACUUUCAAGCCUCAGGAUCUCAUUGUGGGUAGGAAGAAGAAAGGGAGAAUGACAAAGGGAAAGAGGACAAGGCCGUGGGACAACCAGCACUUUGUGGCACAUUUCAUGGAGGACAGGAUUGGCAGUGACCUCCCACCCUCGGAAACUCUGCCUCGUGCCAUGGGAAUGUUCUUGGCCUGCUUGGAGAAGGUAAUCCGAGGCUGCUCUUGGGCCACAAGCAGUGCAGUUUAGCAGUAAUUACCUGGAAACUCAGCAGAACGAUAGAGUUUAAGAAGCCUCCACAAAUGAGUAAGUUUUUCCUAGAGAAUUUCUCAAGCCCUGGAAAAAAGGUAGCUUAUUAUAUGUAAACAUUGCUGAGGGUGUUUGUGUGUGAGAGUGAAGAGUGAAGUGUUUGGGUGGCAGGGACGUGAAGGGAACAUUGAAGGAGCAACAAGACAAGACCCAACAGAGAUGAAAGGAUGACACAGGCUGGCAGGAGGAUGGACCUACCGUCGCAGUUGAUUGAGAGGAGCCUGGGGAACCCUGAAGCAAAGUCACAUAAACAGAACUCCAAGAAAAGUCUUUGAAAAUAAAAGGGAAGGCAAGAGCCUCA
This 1321-nucleotide long non-coding RNA is filed under the name Vulpes vulpes (red fox). Its description in RNAcentral is "lncRNA (ENSVVUG00000030205.1)". Lineage: Eukaryota; Metazoa; Chordata; Mammalia; Carnivora; Canidae. The record is from RNAcentral.